Molecule: ribosomal RNA, 253 nt
Filed under: uncultured bacterium
Lineage: Bacteria
Also listed under: 1 other name
Description: partial 16S ribosomal RNA
Rfam family: Bacterial small subunit ribosomal RNA
Source: RNAcentral
UACGGAGGGGGCUAGCGUUGUUCGGAAUUACUGGGCGUAAAGCGCACGUAGGCGGAUCAGUCAGUUAGGGGUGAAAUCCCAGGGCUCAACCCUGGAACUGCCUUUAAUACUGCUGGUCUGGAGGUCGAGAGAGGCGAGUGGAAUUCCGAGUGUAGAGGUGAAAUUCGUAGAUAUUCGGAGGAACACCAGUGGCGAAGGCGGCUCGCUGGCUCGAUACUGACGCUGAGGUGCGAAAGCGUGGGGAGCAAACAGG